GAUGAACGCUGGCGGCGUGCCUAAUACAUGCAAGUCGAGCGAACAGACGAGGAGCUUGCUCCUCUGACGUUAGCGGCGGACGGGUGAGUAACACGUGGAUAACCUACCUAUAAGACUGGGAUAACUUCGGGAAACCGGAGCUAAUACCGGAUAAUAUAUUGAACCGCAUGGUUCAAUAGUGUAAGACGGUUUUGCUGUCACUUAUAGAUGGAUCCGCGCCGCAUUAGCUAGUUGGUAAGGUAACGGCUUACCAAGGCAACGAUGCGUAGCCGACCUGAGAGGGUGAUCGGCCACACUGGAACUGAGACACGGUCCAGACUCCUACGGGAGGCAGCAGUAGGGAAUCUUCCGCAAUGGGCGAAAGCCUGACGGAGCAACGCCGCGUGAGUGAUGAAGGUCUUCGGAUCGUAAAACUCUGUUAUUAGGGAAGAACAAAUGUGUAAGUAACUAUGCACGUCUUGACGGUACCUAAUCAGAAAGCCACGGCUAACUACGGG
RNAcentral lists this ribosomal RNA (497 nucleotides) under uncultured bacterium. RNAcentral describes it as "partial 16S ribosomal RNA". It matches the Rfam family "Bacterial small subunit ribosomal RNA", at positions 28 to 507 of the family's 1533-position model. The record is from RNAcentral.